This 698-nucleotide long non-coding RNA is filed under the name Spirodela polyrhiza (greater duckweed). RNAcentral's name for it is "long non-coding RNA (SPOL_LNC001466)". Lineage: Eukaryota; Viridiplantae; Streptophyta; Magnoliopsida; Alismatales; Araceae. The record is from RNAcentral.
UGCACACUAUGCUUGAUGUCCAUGCAUUUUCCCUUCUAUCUAACCAUCCUCCUGGAUCAUUUCCGGAUGUAUGCUUGCUUCUGAUCAGCAUCUUUCCUUUUUGCAUCCUUGGAAAGUCAACGACUACCCAUCCCUUCGUAGAAAUCACCCUACUAUCCUUCACAUAUCACGUGUAUUUCCACGGAAAAUCCCUUGAUUCAGAGUGGAAAAACAGUGCCUUGUGGCACAAAAUUACCUGGAUAGUGCCUGAAACUCUAUUAGGUACUCUCGCAUGAUGAUCCUCCUCACUUACAAUUACCAUUUAAAUGAUCAAGGCUUAAAACUAUUUCCUUAUUCUCAGUCCAAUUAUUAUUAAUGCAAAAUUCCUCUUCCAUAUUUGUUGAAUUGUUUUGCUAGCUCACAGAUUGGGCCUUAUCUUGUUCUGAUUUCUUUUGGGAAUCCUGUAAAUUAUUUAAUUUUAUUUAUCUUUCAUCUGUCUCAAGUGGGACUCCUAAUGAGGAUCUUUUAUAACGGGUAAUGCCAUAUCAGCAGGGUUGCCUUAUUUUAUACAGAUCUCUAUGAUUGAAAGGGCGGUGGAUGAUAAAUCUCAAGCCCUUGUCUCCUAAUUGGAAGCAUUAAUGAAGAAGUAGUAAAGCAUUGGAUAGGGAAUGAAUGGCAUAGUAAGAUCAGAAAAUUGGGCUGGCCUACUACGAAAGGUG